RNAcentral lists this ribosomal RNA (427 nucleotides) under uncultured Massilia sp. RNAcentral describes it as "bacterial SSU rRNA". It matches the Rfam family "Bacterial small subunit ribosomal RNA", at positions 355 to 774 of the family's 1533-position model. The record is from RNAcentral. Lineage: Bacteria; Pseudomonadati; Pseudomonadota; Betaproteobacteria; Burkholderiales; Oxalobacteraceae.
UGGGGAAUUUUGGACAAUGGGCGAAAGCCUGAUCCAGCAAUGCCGCGUGAGUGAAGAAGGCCUUCGGGUUGUAAAGCUCUUUUGUCAGGGAAGAAACGGUGAGGGCUAAUAUCCCUUGCUAAUGACGGUACCUGAAGAAUAAGCACCGGCUAACUACGUGCCAGCAGCCGCGGUAAUACGUAGGGUGCAAGCGUUAAUCGGAAUUACUGGGCGUAAAGCGUGCGCAGGCGGUUUUGUAAGUCUGUCGUGAAAUCCCCGGGCUCAACCUGGGAAUUGCGAUGGAGACUGCAAGGCUAGAAUCUGGCAGAGGGGGGUAGAAUUCCACGUGUAGCAGUGAAAUGCGUAGAGAUGUGGAGGAACACCGAUGGCGAAGGCAGCCCCCUGGGUCAAGAUUGACGCUCAUGCACGAAAGCGUGGGGAGCAAACA